This 200-nucleotide unclassified non-coding RNA is filed under the name Pleosporales sp. RNAcentral describes it as "partial contains internal transcribed spacer 2 and large subunit ribosomal RNA". Lineage: Eukaryota; Fungi; Ascomycota; Dothideomycetes; Pleosporales. RNAcentral also lists the same sequence under 1 other name. The record is from RNAcentral.
AUUUACACCCUCAAGCUCUGCUUGGUGUUGGGCGUCUGUCCCGCUCUCGGAGCGUGGACUCGCCUCAAAGUCAUUGGCGGCGGUCGUGCCGGCUCCUCGCGCAGCACAUUUGCGCUUCUCGGAGUCCCGGUGGAUCAGCGUCCAGCAAGCUACUUUUACGACUUGACCUCGGAUCAGGUAGGGAUACCCGCUGAACUUAA